Molecule: small nucleolar RNA, 83 nt
Organism: Pistacia vera
Lineage: Eukaryota; Viridiplantae; Streptophyta; Magnoliopsida; Sapindales; Anacardiaceae
Product: small nucleolar RNA snoR53Y
Exons: 1
Source: RefSeq, a predicted model, not a curated record
GUUCCCUGGAUGGUUCAAAUAAUCAUGCUAAUGAGCUGAUUGUUUUGUUAUGACUGAAAGAUUUACCUUUUUCUGAGGGAAAU